Molecule: ribosomal RNA, 701 nt
Filed under: uncultured fungus
Lineage: Eukaryota; Fungi
Description: Internal transcribed spacer
Rfam family: 5.8S ribosomal RNA (bases 126-279)
Source: RNAcentral
CUGCACUCCUAACAUACCCUUGUCUUUUGAGUACUUAUGUUUCCUUGGUAGGCUUGCCUGCCGAUAGGACAACCUUUAAACCUUUUAAUAUAUCAAUCAGCGUCUGAUAAAUAUUUAAUAAUUACAACUUUCAACAACGGAUCUCUUGGUUCUGGCAUCGAUGAAGAACGCAGCGAAAUGCGAUAAGUAGUGUGAAUUGCAGAAUUCAGUGAAUCAUCGAAUCUUUGAACGCACAUUGCGCCCCUUGGUAUUCCAUGGGGCAUGCCUGUUCGAGCGUCAUUUGUACCCUCAAGCUAUGCUUGGUGUUGGGUGAUUGUCCCGUCUUUUCUAGUCAGGACUCGCCUUAAAGUAAUUGGCAGCCAGUAUUUUGGGGUAAAGCGCAGCACAUUUUGCGAUUUAGUCCAGUAAUAUUAGCAACCAUCAAGUUUUAUAUAUCACUUUUGACCUCGGAUCAGGUAGGGAUACCCGCUGAACUUAAGCAUAUCAAUAAGCGGAGGAAUCUUGCUGAAAAACUCGAGCCAUCCGGAAGAUCUGGCGGCCGCUCUCCCUAUAGUGAGUCGUAUUACGCCGGAUGGAUAUGGUGUUCAGGCACAAGUGUUAAAGCAGUUGAUUUUAUUCACUAUGAUGAAAAAAACAAUGAAUGGAACCUGCUCCAAGUUAAAAAUAGAGAUAAUACCGAAAACUCAUCGAGUAGUAAGAUU